AACGAACGCUGGCGGCAUGCCUAACACAUGCAAGUCGAACGAGACCUUCGGGUCUAGUGGCGCACGGGUGCGUAAGGCGUGGGAACCUGCCCUUAGGUUCGGAAUAACUCCCCGAAAGGGGUGCUAAUACCGGAGAAUGUCUUCGGACCAAAGAUUUAUCGCCUUUGGAUGGGCCCGCGUUGGAUUAGCUAGUUGGUAGGGUAAAAGCCUACCAAGGCGACGAUCCAUAGCUGGUCUGAGAGGAUGAUCAGCCACACUGGGACUGAGACACGGCCCAGACUCCUACGGGAGGCAGCAGUGGGGAAUAUUGGACAAUGGGCGAAAGCCUGAUCCGGCAAUGCCGCGUGAGUGAUGAAGGCCUUAGGGUUGUAAAGCUCUUUUACCCGGGAUGAUAAUGACAGUACCGGGAGAAUAAGCACCGGCUAACUCCGUG
This 433-nucleotide ribosomal RNA is filed under the name uncultured bacterium. Its description in RNAcentral is "partial 16S ribosomal RNA". It matches the Rfam family "Bacterial small subunit ribosomal RNA", at positions 29 to 507 of the family's 1533-position model. The record is from RNAcentral.